UCUGCCCGCUGGCGGCGUGCCUAAUACAUGCAAGUCGAGCGAACAGAUGAGGAGCUUGCUCCUCUGACGUUAGCGGCGGACGGGUGAGUAACACGUGGAUAACCUACCUAUAAGACUGGGAUAACUUCGGGAAACCGGAGCUAAUACCGGAUAAUAUAUUGAACCGCAUGGUUCAAUAGUGAAAGACGGUUUUGCUGUCACUUAUAGAUGGAUCCGCGCCGCAUUAGCUAGUUGGUAAGGUAACGGCUUACCAAGGCAACGAUGCGUAGCCGACCUGAGAGGGUGAUCGGCCACACUGGAACUGAGACACGGUCCAGACUCCUACGGGAGGCAGCAGUAGGGAAUCUUCCGAAAUGGGCGAAAGCCUGACGGAGCAACGCCGCGUGAGUGAUGAAGGUCUUCGGAUCGUAAAACUCUGUUAUUAGGGAAGAACAAAUGUGUAAGUAACUAUGCACGUCUUGACGGUACCUAAUCAGAAAGCCACGGCUAACUACGUG
Molecule: ribosomal RNA, 497 nt
Filed under: uncultured bacterium
Lineage: Bacteria
Description: partial 16S ribosomal RNA
Rfam family: Bacterial small subunit ribosomal RNA
Source: RNAcentral